RNAcentral lists this transfer RNA (76 nucleotides) under Bacilli bacterium. Its description in RNAcentral is "tRNA-Gln". It matches the Rfam family "tRNA". From Rfam's summary of the family: Transfer RNA (tRNA) molecules are approximately 80 nucleotides in length. Their secondary structure includes four short double-helical elements and three loops (D, anti-codon, and T loops). The record is from RNAcentral. Lineage: Bacteria; Bacillati; Bacillota; Bacilli.
UGCCCCAUAGCCAAGCGGUAAGGCGGCAGGCUCUGACCCUGUUAUUCCGUAGGUUCGAAUCCUACUGGGGCAACCA